Molecule: ribosomal RNA, 253 nt
Filed under: uncultured bacterium
Lineage: Bacteria
Description: partial 16S ribosomal RNA
Rfam family: Bacterial small subunit ribosomal RNA
Source: RNAcentral
UACAGAGGGUGCGAGCGUUAAUCGGAAUUACUGGGCGUAAAGCGCGCGUAGGCGGCUUUGCAAGUCGGGUGUGAAAUCCCCAGGCUUAACCUGGGAACUGCAUUCGAGACUGCAUUGCUAGAGUAUGGGAGAGGGAAGUGGAAUUUCCGGUGUAGCGGUGAAAUGCGUAGAUAUCGGAAGGAACAUCAGUGGCGAAAGCGGCUCACUGGUCCAUUACUGACGCUGAGGUGCGAAAGCGUGGGGAGCAAACAGG